CUAGAGGCAUGUGAUUGCCCUGGAUUUCCAUAUAUGGUUCCAUUGCCUUGGACCAAAAGACAAUGCAGAGUUUUGUAAUGUGGGAAGGGGAAAGCUUUCUGAACUUGACCAACAGGAAGCAACAAGUCAUCUAACACAAAUGCGUGAAGAGACAGGGUAGCAGAUGUACUUCCCUCUUUACCAGCAUCCUCAGCCAGAGUGUCGGCCAUGAACCUUGAGACAGAUGGGGUUUCAUCAUACUGCCCAUGUUCAAGAUGGGGUCUUGAACUCCUGGGCUCAAGCAAUCCACCCACCUUGGCCUCCCAAAGUGCUGGGAUUACAGGCAUGAGCCAUAGCAACCGGCCUGUUAUUAUUUAUUACUUAUAUUACUAUUUAACUUGCCAGAUAUG
This is a long non-coding RNA of Symphalangus syndactylus (siamang), 389 nucleotides long. RefSeq lists it as uncharacterized. The record is from RefSeq and is a predicted model, not a curated record. NCBI's taxonomy places the organism in Eukaryota, Metazoa, Chordata, Mammalia, Primates, Hylobatidae.